GCGAGGCCGAAAGGCGUAGUCGAUGGGAAACGGGUUAAUAUUCCCGUACUUCUUACAAUUGCGAUGGGGGGACGGAGAAGGCUAGGUGGGCCUGGCGACGGUUGUCCAGGUUCAAGUGCGUAGGCUUGAGAGUUAGGUAAAUCCGGCUCUCUUUAAGGCUGAGACACGACGUCGAGCACCUACGGGUGUGAAGUCAUUGAUGCCAUGCUUCCAGGAAAAGCCUCUAAGCUUCAGAUUGUAAGGAAUCGUACCCCAAACCGACACAGGUGGUCGGGUAG
This 278-nucleotide ribosomal RNA is filed under the name Vibrio parahaemolyticus. RNAcentral's name for it is "partial 23S ribosomal RNA". It matches the Rfam family "Bacterial large subunit ribosomal RNA", at positions 1396 to 1674 of the family's 2925-position model. Lineage: Bacteria; Pseudomonadati; Pseudomonadota; Gammaproteobacteria; Vibrionales; Vibrionaceae. The record is from RNAcentral.